GCUUUAUACUGCCUUCCCGAACUUUUCAGUAAAAAUAUAUGCUCGGUCUUGGUUUCAUGCCUCAGCUUUAGAAAAGCCUGAUGUGGCUUAAAUGUGUGAGCAAGAGGAGUUUGUAAUUGGAAAGACAACUGCAACUUCUGGAGAUGGUUUGCCGCUAGUGAUACUGUAUUGUCUCUUGAUAAAUCCAGCUUCUGAGUUGUCUCCACGCUCCCACCAUCACUGUCUACGACUGUGAUCUCUGCUUUCUCAAUGUUGAUAGAUCCGGUGAUAUAUGUCAGUGCUUUUAUCUGUCCACCAGUAGCAUAUGUAUUCACAUGUUCAGGAUCAUGAAGCAAAAUCUCGAAAACUAACGUAUAUUUUCCGACAUCUAUAUUCAGAGGCAGGAUAUCCAAGUAGUGUACACCAUUUUCAGGGUCAAAUGUGAGCUCCUGACUCUCAACAAUUG
RNAcentral lists this unclassified non-coding RNA (445 nucleotides) under Hevea brasiliensis (rubber tree). Lineage: Eukaryota; Viridiplantae; Streptophyta; Magnoliopsida; Malpighiales; Euphorbiaceae. The record is from RNAcentral.